RNAcentral lists this transfer RNA (73 nucleotides) under Methanobacteriota archaeon. RNAcentral describes it as "Euryarchaeota archaeon tRNA-Glu". It matches the Rfam family "tRNA". From Rfam's summary of the family: Transfer RNA (tRNA) molecules are approximately 80 nucleotides in length. Their secondary structure includes four short double-helical elements and three loops (D, anti-codon, and T loops). Lineage: Archaea; Methanobacteriati; Methanobacteriota. The record is from RNAcentral.
GCUCCGAUCGUCUAGUGGCCAAGGAUGCUGGCCUCUCGAGCCAGUGACCCGGGUUCGAAUCCCGGUCGGAGCA